This 889-nucleotide ribosomal RNA is filed under the name uncultured bacterium. RNAcentral's name for it is "bacterial SSU rRNA". It matches the Rfam family "Bacterial small subunit ribosomal RNA", at positions 8 to 944 of the family's 1533-position model. The record is from RNAcentral.
AGAGUUUGAUCAUGGCUCAGAACGUACGCUGGCGGCACGCCUAAUACAUGCAAGUCGAACGAAGUAGCAAUACUUAGUGGCAGACGGGUGAGUAACAUGUGGGUAUCUUCCCUAUGGUGAGGAAUAACACGAGGAAACUUGUGCUAAUACCGGAUAAGUCUUUACGGAGAAAGCUUCAUGCACCAUUGGAUGAGCCCGCACUUGAUUAGUUUGUUGGUGGGGUAAUGGCCUACCAAGACUUUGAUCAAUAGCUGAUUUGAGAGGAUGAUCAGCCACAUUGGGACUGAGACACGGCCCAAACUCCUACGGGAGGCAGCAGUGGGGAAUCUUGCACAAUGGAGGAAACUCUGAUGCAGCGAUGCCGCGUGAGUGAAGAAGGCCUUUGGGUUGUAAAGCUCUUUCGUCGGGGAAGAAAAUGACUGUACCCGAAUAAGAAGGUCCGGCUAACUUCGUGCCAGCAGCCGCGGUAAUACGAAGGGACCUAGCGUAGUUCGGAAUUACUGGGCUUAAAGAGCUCGUAGGUGGUUAAAAAAGUUGAUGGUGAAAUCCCAAGGCUCAACCUUGGAACUGCCAUCAAAACUUUUUAGCUAGAGUGUGAUAGAGGUAAGUGGAAUUUCUAGUGUAGAGGUGAAAUUCGUAGAUAUUAGAAAGAACACCAAAUGCGAAGGCAACUUACUGGGUCACUACUGACACUGAGGAGCGAAAGCAUGGGUAGCGAAGAGGAUUAGAUACCCUCGUAGUCCAUGCCGUAAACGAUGUGUGCUAGACGUUGGAAAUAUAUUUUUCAGUGUCGCAGCGAAAGCAUUAAGCACACCGCCUGGGGAGUACGACCGCAAGGUUAAAACUCAAAUGAAUUGACGGGGACCCGCACAAGCAGUGGAGCAUGUGG